This 45-nucleotide non-coding RNA is filed under the name Schistosoma curassoni. The record is from RNAcentral. Lineage: Eukaryota; Metazoa; Platyhelminthes; Trematoda; Strigeidida; Schistosomatidae.
AUCCAGCUGAUGAGUCGCAAAUAGGAUGAAUCGCGUGUCCUGGAU